This 3638-nucleotide long non-coding RNA is filed under the name Hordeum vulgare. Its description in RNAcentral is "long non-coding RNA (HVUL_LNC021674)". Lineage: Eukaryota; Viridiplantae; Streptophyta; Magnoliopsida; Poales; Poaceae. The record is from RNAcentral.
CUUCUCCUCCUCCUCCUCCUCCUCCUCCUUCUCCUUCUUCUCUUCUUCUUCAUCUCUUCUUCUUCUGCUACCUUUUCAUUUUGCCUGUUUCUUCUCCUCUUCUCCUCUUGUUGGAGCUAAAUUACCUAAUUAUGUCUUUUUUGAGCUAAAUAUUCCAAUUAUGUCAUUUUAGAGGAAAACAAGCUAAGUAUAUAAUAUUCAUGAGCUAACCAAGGUUCUUGUGCCAUUUUGAGCUUAUUAUGGUAUUUUGGGGCUAAAUGGGCUAAUUAUGUCAUUGUUGGGUUAAUUAAAGCAAGGAUAAUAUGAAAGAGGAGAAGAAAGAGGAUGAGGAGGAGAAGAAGAAGAAAUCAAGAAGAAGGAGGAGGAGGAGGAGAAGAAUAGAAGGUCCUUAGCCUUCUCCUCCUCGUCCUCCUCCUCCUCCUUCUCNNNNNNNNNNNNNNNNNNNNNNNNNNNNNNNNNNNNNNNNNNNNNNNNNNNNNNNNNNNNNNNNNNNNNNNNNNNNNNNNNNNNNNNNNNNNNNNNNNNNCAUGAUUAUUAGUUUGUAAGAUUCACAACUUAAAUUAUAUAUUUGAAUCUUUAUUAUUCAUGUACAUAUUAUUAUUCAUGUCAGUCAUUCAAUUUUUUUAUGUUGUACUAAUUUCUUUUAAUCUUUAUCAUGGCAGGUGUUGAAAGAUGGUGGGCGCGGGUCCAGAGCGCUCGACGGGUUGUUCCCAGGAGCCCCCCACGAGGGGUGGUACUUCCCUUCCUCCCCUAUCUCUCCGUAGAGCCUUGGCAGACAGUCUUUCGACACCAGCCGGGGGUUCUUCUUCGUCGGCGGCAUUGCCCACUGGGAGAGGUGCUGGUCGGGUACGGAGGAAGGGGAAGGGUACAGGCAGAGGUGGUGGCCGCGGAAGAUACAGGAGGACUGUUGAGCCGUCCUCGCCACCACCACCAGCUCAUUCACCCGAGCAUCGGACUAGUAUGGUUGAUCCGUUUGCGGAGGAGGCUACAGGGACUCCGGUCCAGGAGCCUGGUGUUCACGGGCAUUCGUCCCAUGAGACUCCGGUCCAGGAGCAGCCUCGGGUCGAGGUGCACUCGGCCUAGGAGCAGCCGGAGGAGACUACGGUUCCGGAGGCUUCACCCGACGUGGAGAGGCCCGGAUGGGAGCCUUGGCCGGAUCGUACCGAGUUGCCGGAUUGGACCGAGGGUCCGGGUGGCUCAGGGGGCGGGGAUGGCGGGGAUGAGCUUACGGAUACUGAGGGCGAUGUGCAGGUGGACGGGGCCACCGUGUACAAGCGUGGUAGUACACGUCUCGCGGUCGCCCCGGCUACCCGCGAGCAGAGGCCGGUGAUUAAACCUGAAGGAGAUAGGUAAGUACAUUUACCCUUUUUUUAGCUUUUGCCUUCAAGUUUGUUCAAAUAUCUAAUGCGCUGAACUUAUCAUACUGCAGGGGAUGGGUACACCCUCUUGGAGUCCGCGGGCCGAACUCCGUCCUUGGUGUGCUUUGCCGGACAAAUUUCCCGGGGUUUGUCACGUUGCCUGGUGAGGGUCAGGUUCCUACACUAGGAUUUACCUGGGAGCACUACCAGGCUGCGCAGGCCCCGCCGGAGGAGAUUAUAGAUGGUGUCUUGUGCCACACGAGGGCCCAGAUGGUGAUCAAGAGCUUUUGGGUAAAUUAUCCUUUUACAGAAUCUAAAAUUAACAAUAUACCUAAUUAUUUUACUAAUCGGUGUUUUCACGUUUGAUUGGAGACCUUCUAUAGGUGUGAGGAUGGAUAUGAGGAGGAGGCGGCCAGGGUUCUCGAGGUCGAGUGUAGGCGGUUACUACAGAACUUGCGCCACGAGGCUCGACCGCGGGCUAUUCGAGAUUACUAUGCCACGCAUGGUAUUAAGAAGGAGAAGAAGGAUUGCCGCGGAAAGUUUCUAAAGAAGGAGCAAUACAUGAAGGUAAUUACGUAUUCUUAAGUCCUACGUAGUUUUCUUGAUUUCAUUCAUAGGCGUAGCGCUGAAAAUUCUUUCUAAUAACUUACAGGUGCCCCGAAGAUGGUGUGCGGAUAAGAUGGAUUGUUGGGAGGCGUUGGUUGAUGAGUGGUGCACAGGCAGUUGGCGAGCCGUCCACGAGAAUGCGAAGGAUCGGCGUAGCCAAAUGGUUGGUGUGCCACACCAUCAAGGCAGCGCCAACUUACUUCAGUUUGGACGAAACUGGGUAUGUGAUUUGCUUCAUGAUUCAUGCAAUUCAUUCUUGAUGCUAAUAUUUUGUUCCUCUCUUUUAGGCGCAUCACAAUAAGACUGAGAUGCCACACUUGUACGACCUCUAUGGAAUGGCCCAUACUGCCUCGUACAAGAAGGCGAAGGCAUUCUCUGAGUCUGACCUGGAUGAUCCCAGUAACUUCACCAACAUAGCAUCCCACCAGAAGCUCGUGGCAUACAGGGACGCGGGGAAGGCUACGAAAGGGGAUGACUUUAACCCUAGCCAGGAACCUUUGGAUCCAGAGCUGGUGAUGAUAUCUGGUGGCGGGAGGCCCCAUGGCUCGAUAGCCAUUGGAGAUGGGAUAAUACGUUGUCCACUCACUCUUCCGGAGAUCAAGGCGCGCCAGUCGAGCAGAUGUCCUGAGAUAACGCCUCGUCCACGGCCAGUCGAACUUGCCAUCGAGGUUAGUUGUAUGGACUAAGAACACUUUCAUCAAUUUCAUUAUGUGUGUCACCAUAGAUCAUUACUGUGGUAACGAGGUAUGGUUUUUCAGGCUGCUCUUCAGAAAGAGAGAGCGGCAAACCAGGCUGCUCUUGAGAAAGAGAGAUUGGCAAGCCAGGUGCUCUUCAGGCUGCUCUUGAUGAGAGGGACCAGAGCACGUCACGAUUGCUUGAGGAGGAGAGGGCCCGGAAUGAGGCGGGUCAACGGGCCCUGUACGAGCUUUUUGUGGUAUGUUUUUUUCACGUUAGCCAAAUCAUGUGUGUAAUGUCUAAUUCAAUACUAACUAAUACGACCCACUCUUUACGGUCUGUGUGAGAAGAGCGGUCAAGUCCCUCCGCCGAUGCCCGUCUUCUCUUCGAUUGGCACGGUGAGUUUCAUUAUAAACUAGUAUUAAUAAUUGAGUGUCAUCAUGCUAACUGAGACAUUGCAAAAUAUCUUUUCCGCAGAAUAACUCCCGAGCGGCAUCGCACGACCCUUCUCUAGGGCGACCGUCUCCAAACAAAGCCGGCGCGAGCAACCGUGGUGUUUCUCCUCCUUGAUGACCACUACGGUAAGUUUCUCCUCCAAACUUAGCUUGUUUUCCUCUAAAAUGAGAUAAUUAGCCCAUUUACCUCCAAGAAGACAUAAUUAAGUAAUUUAGCUCCAGCAAGAGGAGAAGAAAUAGGAAAAAUGAAAAGAAAGAAGAAGAAGAAGAAGAAGAGAAGAAGGAGAAGGAGGAGGAGGAGGAGGAGGAGGAGGAGGAGAAGGCCAAGGACCUUCUAGUCCUUCUUCUCCUCCUCCUUCUUCUUGAUUUCUUCUUCUUCUCCUCCUCCUCCUCUUUCUUCUCCUCUUUCAUAUUAUCCUUGCUUUAAUUAACCGAACAAUGACAUAAUUAGCCCAUUUAGCUCCAAAAUACCAUAAUAAGCUCAAAAUGGCACAAGAACCUUGGUUAGCUCAUGAAUAUUAUAUGCUUAGCUUGUUUUCCUCUA